UUAUUUAAAAUGCUGGAUUUUGCAUCAUCAGCUAAUGUAGUAGCUGCUAAGGUUGCUGACGAAAACAAUCUUAGUAGGUAUUGAGAUGUGUGUUUGUUAUGAAUUGAAGAUAUAGAUUUGUUGUUUUGUGCGCUUGCAAUUUGAGUGCACUUGUGAAAUCAAAACUCAGGAGGAAGUCAGAGAAAGUCUCGUCUGUCCAAACCAGCUGGCAAGCUGAUACCUACCAAAUCACGGAACGAAAAACGCUGUAACAGGCCCAUACCGGCAACUGCUGCUGUCCAUUUCGAUGGUCCAACAAAUCAAAAUCCCGUUGGCUACGGCACUUCGCGUUGACCGGUUCGUGUGCAUGCCAAAACUGCUUCGUUUGAUUUGAGGCGAUUCUACUCACACCCAAUCCGGUACUAACCAUCUGGAGCCGGCUUGCCGCUCUGCUAGACGUGCAUGAAGCUGGUCUCGAAUUGCGAUUGCUGUCCGCCGGGGAGCUUUUCAGUUGAGGUCGGGCCGAAUUUGUUCAAACAACGCUUUUUCUUUGAAGCUGGCCGGCACCAACGUUUACCUCCUACAGAAGAUGCUGUAUCCGGAUGGAGAAACACUUGAAACUAAACUAAGCAAAAUGUUGAAAGCGUAACAAAAUGUUUGGAAAUUUUCAGUUUGGCAGACAGGAUGACAACUCUGGAGUGUCGGAGUGUACACGGUAAACUUGGUCAACCAAGAAUUUUGAUAAAUCCAGACUCCGACAAAUAGACUCCUAAAGUGGGUAGAAGGAGGUUAGCACAAAAAGCUAUUUAGGGGUUUUGACGGAACUUUCGUCAGAAAGGAAAAUUGGUAUAGUUGACGUUUGGAAUUAUAGAUUCAAGACGUUUACAAACUUUUAGGUCUACUUAAUAAGGCCAAUGCAAAUUUUAAUUGAAGUUUUUUCCCGGCUUAUCCGAUGAACAAAAGCUUUUGAUUUUUUUCCAUUAUGCAAAAUUUCUUUUGUAGAAAAGUCUC
Long non-coding RNA from Culex quinquefasciatus (southern house mosquito), 990 nucleotides. RefSeq lists it as uncharacterized. Lineage: Eukaryota; Metazoa; Arthropoda; Insecta; Diptera; Culicidae. The record is from RefSeq and is a predicted model, not a curated record. The transcript has 3 exons.